UGGGGAAUAUUGCACAAUGGGGGAAACCCUGAUGCAGCUAUGCCGCGUGUGUGAAGAAGGUCUUCGGAUUGUAAAGCACUUUCAGCAAGGAAGAAAGCAAACAUGCUAAUACCAUAUUUGUGUGACGUUACUUGCAAAAGAAGCACCGGCUAACUCCGUGCCAGCAGCCGCGGUAAUACGGAGGGUGCGAGCGUUAAUCGGAAUUACUGGGCGUAAAGCGUACGCAGGCGGCUUAUUAAGUCAGAUGUGAAAUCCCCGGGCUUAACCUAGGAACUGCAUUUGAAACUAAUAAACUAGAGUAUCGUAGAGGGAGGUAGAAUUCCAGGUGUAGCGGUGAAAUGCGUAGAUAUCUGGAGGAAUACCAGUGGCGAAGGCGACCUCCUGGACGAUAACUGACGCUCAGGUACGAAAGCGUGGGGAGCAAACA
This 427-nucleotide ribosomal RNA is filed under the name uncultured Wigglesworthia sp. RNAcentral describes it as "bacterial SSU rRNA". It matches the Rfam family "Bacterial small subunit ribosomal RNA", at positions 355 to 774 of the family's 1533-position model. The record is from RNAcentral. Lineage: Bacteria; Pseudomonadati; Pseudomonadota; Gammaproteobacteria; Enterobacterales; Erwiniaceae.